UGAAGGUUGCUGGGUCCUCAGCGAGGGCCGCCUGCUGGGGCCAUGACUCCCUCAGUUCACUCCCAUGCGGGCAGGAGGCCUCCCUCCGCCGGCUUGCCUGCGCACCGGGGCCGUGGGACCCUGGGACUCUGUUGUGGUCCCCCUCUGUGAACUGCAUUUGAAGAGAAAAGUACCAAGUGGGGCUUUCCUUCACUGGAACUAGAGCACCAGGCUGCCUGCCCAAGGAAAAGGACCCCCCCAGCUCGUGACCCCCAAGGAGGGCUGCUUGGGGGUGCUGAGCAUGUGGGCAGGAGCCCCAGGCCCUGGACUCUGCUCCCGGUCGGCCUACUGACCUUGGGCAAGUCUUCUUCCAUCCUGGUCUAUGAUGAGAGAUCUCAGCAUGAAGCCUCAUAAUAGCCUGGCUGGUGUCCUGACUACAAGUCCCACAUGGGAGUUCGCAUGCAGGCAUCAUCCUUGCAUUGAACCUCAAGACCCCCCAGGAAGAGUUUCCUGAACAUUGCUGAUGUCCUGAAUACCCAACAUCUAUGAAGCCCAAAUGAACUUGUUAAAAAUAAAAAAGGGCUGGAGUGGACACUGUCCUGCCUAGACUCUGCAUCCUUGACAGCCACCUGCCUCCAGGGCCAAAGUCUAUAUGCCAACCAUUAAGAAAGCCAAGGAGAGUCC
Molecule: non-coding RNA, 663 nt
Organism: Leptonychotes weddellii (Weddell seal)
Lineage: Eukaryota; Metazoa; Chordata; Mammalia; Carnivora; Phocidae
Source: RefSeq, a predicted model, not a curated record